This 208-nucleotide long non-coding RNA is filed under the name Setaria viridis. Its description in RNAcentral is "long non-coding RNA (SVIR_LNC008697)". Lineage: Eukaryota; Viridiplantae; Streptophyta; Magnoliopsida; Poales; Poaceae. The record is from RNAcentral.
GGGUAUUGGGAAAAUAGAAUCUGCUUGUGUUCCUCGAUAUACGGAGCCACAAAGGAUGAUUGUUGCAUAACAGUGAAGUGUGCUUUAUGGAACAAAUCACAAUCAUUGCUCAUACUUGAUUUCCUUCCAAGGGAGCCCGUUCCUAUAGCUUCCCCUCGUGGCAUGAUGUUGGAACCCCAAUCAAAUUAAUUGAGUCAAUCAAAUCAAC